AGUCAGCCUGUUCUUUGGAGCUUUGAAGACAGGCAUUGACUUCUCUCUAGCUAUGAAAGUCCUAGAUGGCAU
Molecule: microRNA precursor, 72 nt
Organism: Loxodonta africana (African savanna elephant)
Lineage: Eukaryota; Metazoa; Chordata; Mammalia; Proboscidea; Elephantidae
Source: Ensembl